Molecule: ribosomal RNA, 429 nt
Filed under: Actinomycetes bacterium
Lineage: Bacteria; Bacillati; Actinomycetota; Actinomycetes
Description: Actinobacteria bacterium partial 16S ribosomal RNA
Rfam family: Bacterial small subunit ribosomal RNA
Source: RNAcentral
UAGGGAAUCUUCCGCAAUGGGCGAAAGCCUGACGGAGCAACGCCGCGUGAGUGAUGAAGGUCUUCGGAUCGUAAAACUCUGUUAUUAGGGAAGAACAAAUGUGUAAGUAACUAUGCACGUCUUGACGGUACCUAAUCAGAAAGCCACGGCUAACUACGUGCCAGCAGCCGCGGUAAUACGUAGGUGGCAAGCGUUAUCCGGAAUUAUUGGGCGUAAAGCGCGCGUAGGCGGUUUUUUAAGUCUGAUGUGAAAGCCCACGGCUCAACCGUGGAGGGUCAUUGGAAACUGGAAAACUUGAGUGCAGAAGAGGAAAGUGGAAUUCCAUGUGUAGCGGUGAAAUGCGCAGAGAUAUGGAGGAACACCAGUGGCGAAGGCGACUUUCUGGUCAGUAACUGACGCUGAUGUGCGAAAGCGUGGGGAUCAAACAGG